AAAAACUUGCCAAAACCUAACAGACAUAAACAAGCAAGUCCCCCUCAAGAACCCUCAAGAAAACCACCAGAUAAAUAAAACAAAACAAAAAAACCCAAAAGACAUUUUAAAAAAGAAAACAAUAGCCUCAUCUCUCUAGCAUGCUUCAACAGCAUCACUACUAUCAUCAUCUUUCUCCAUAGAUCCUUUUCCCUCAACAUACACGAUGGAUUCUUGUAGAAACGAACUGUCGGAGUUCUUAAAUGCCAUUUCCUCCGACCCAUUUCAUCCUCAUCUCAGAGACCUUCUGUCUUUUCCAUCUGUCGCUUCUACUCUAAAAGGCGCCUCCUCAAUCCAGAUCCUCGGCGAUGACCAUUGUUUUCCCUCCUCCGCCAUUGUAUGUGCUAUUUAGUUCACCGAUCAACCCACAAAGCUACAAUCAAGGAGUCCCCCUCCACCACCAGCCUCCAGAAUCUCAGUUCUUUAGCUACCGUCAUCGCUUGUAAGCAGGCUCUCACCUCAGCCAUAGUUGCAUCGGCCACAAAGUUAUUCGAGUAAGUACAGGCUGCCAAAGUAUACCUCUCAUUGUCUCUAAAAAUUAUUCCAGUCACUGAACUAAGCAAUUGUCUCUAAAAAUUAUUCCAGUCACUGAACUAAGCAAACACAUGUUAAAAGCCGCAUCAAAAUUACAUUUAACUACAUUUAUCAUCGAUAGGAUCCAUACCAUGUUAUUCUGACUUAUACUUGUUGUCAUUGUUUCUGUGUGAGUACUCUCUGUAUAAUAGGCUUUAACAAAAGAAACAAGGCCAAUUAUACUCUGCCUUUCACCUUGAUGAUAGACCUUGUUUCUGUGGUACCAAACCGCCUAGAAAACAAUGGCUAACCAUUUGCAUUGAUCUUCUCCUCUACUGACAAAUAAAUUUGCUAACCAUAUUUUCCAAUUUUGUCCUUGAAUACUGGGUGAGACGUCAAUACCCACCCUCAUUGCAGGACACUUUGAAAAAUAUGGUUCACAGACUCGUCCAUUAUACGACAGAGAGGACAACAAUUCACCACCAGCAAUUUCUUCAACUGUAAAUUAUUAAAUGUAGGGAUGUAAUUAUUAGCCAGUUUCCAUAUUGUAAUUUUAAUUUUGCUCACAAUUUGUAAUCUCCAUAAUUUGUUGUAGAAAUUCUAUAAUAGUGUAUUUUGUUGUACCACCUCCCCAGGCAAUGUUGCCUCACCUUCAUUUAGCAGCCAUUUAUAUCCAUUUUUUACCGAAUACACUAUUGUAUUAUCACCUCUCCACACCCUCUCAUCUCUAAGAUCAACUUCAGCAACUAGGAUAGCCAAUAUUCUAUUUACUUGCUCUUCAACAAAAAACUUUCUCAGUGUCUCUAAAUUCCAGGGCUAAAUGUUUAUCGAUCUGCCAUUUCCAACUCUCCAACCAUACCUAGUUCCAAAAGAUUCCAUGCACCCCAAAUGCUUCUUCAGGAAUUAAUGAGGCGAGCCAAUCAGCACCAACUCCAAAAUCAUCAGAUGCUC
Long non-coding RNA from Gossypium arboreum, 1503 nucleotides. RefSeq lists it as uncharacterized. The transcript has 4 exons. NCBI's taxonomy places the organism in Eukaryota, Viridiplantae, Streptophyta, Magnoliopsida, Malvales, Malvaceae. The record is from RefSeq and is a predicted model, not a curated record.